Molecule: ribosomal RNA, 430 nt
Filed under: uncultured bacterium
Lineage: Bacteria
Description: bacterial SSU rRNA
Rfam family: Bacterial small subunit ribosomal RNA
Source: RNAcentral
ACGAACGCUGGCGGCAUGCCUGACACAUGCAAGUCGAACGAACCCUUCGGGGUUAGUGGCGCACGGGUGCGUAACACGUGGGAAUCUGCCCCUAGGUACGGAAUAACAGUUAGAAAUGGCUGCUAAUACCGUAUGAUGACUCCGGUCCAAAGAUUUAUAGCCUAGGGAUGAGCCCGCGUCGGAUUAGCUAGUUGGUGAGGUAAAGGCUCACCAAGGCGACGAUCCGUAGCUGGUCUGAGAGGAUGAUCAGCCACACUGGGACUGAGACACGGCCCAGACUCCUACGGGAGGCAGCAGUGGGGAAUAUUGGACAAUGGGCGAAAGCCUGAUCCAGCAAUGCCGCGUGAGUGAAGAAGGCCUUAGGGUUGUAAAGCUCUUUUACCCGGGAUGAUAAUGACAGUACCGGGAGAAUAAGCUCCGGCUAACUCCG